Molecule: ribosomal RNA, 301 nt
Filed under: uncultured bacterium
Lineage: Bacteria
Description: partial 16S ribosomal RNA
Rfam family: Bacterial small subunit ribosomal RNA
Source: RNAcentral
CAGUAGCCGCGGGAAUACGAAGGGGGCUAGCGUUGCUCGGAAUGACUGGGCGUAAAGGGCGCGUAGGCGGAUUGUUUAGUUAGGCGUGAAAUUCCUGGGCUUAACCUGGGGACUGCGCUUAAUACAGGCAGUCUAGAGUGAGGAAGAGGGUUGUGGAAUUCCCAGUGUAGAGGUGAAAUUCGUAGAUAUUGGGAAGAACACCGGUGGCGAAGGCGGCGACCUGGUCCUUGACUGACGCUGAGGCGCGAAAGCGUGGGGAGCAAACAGGAUUAGAUACCCCGUAGUCCCUGUCUCUUAUACA